Molecule: long non-coding RNA, 1129 nt
Filed under: Salmo salar (Atlantic salmon)
Lineage: Eukaryota; Metazoa; Chordata; Actinopteri; Salmoniformes; Salmonidae
Description: lncRNA (ENSSSAG00000092863.1)
Source: RNAcentral
GAGGACCAUGUGUUUGGCUCAGCUGAGACAGCCGUUCGUUCCUGCUUCAGUGGGGUGCUGAGUGCGUGUGUUUGUGAGGAGCAUGUCCUCUCAUGGCUGCAGUGUGAGCCCUGUCUGUUGCUGUGGCUCCCCACCCUGUACCGCCUGUCAAUCAGCGAGAACAUCACACACUCCCUACGCUUCCACACCUGCAAGGCCUACCCCAUCACUGGACUUAGGUAUCGCUGUAUGAAGUGUGUGAACCUUCAUCUGUGCCAAACCUGCUUCCUGACAGAGAGACACACAAGAAAACACAAGAGUUCCCACCCAGUGCUGGAGCACUGCACUGAGGCUCUUAGCAUGUCAGGGACACAUGCUGACGUCAUGCCUCAUGCUAAUGUCAUCCCACAUGCUAAAUACAGGCCAGAGAGAGACAUAGCUUGUCCUGUAGAGUCUCAGAGCUCUGCAUCUUCCUCUCGAUCCAGAGAAAGAGAGGAGGAGGAGGAGAGGGAAGAGGAGGAGAGGGAAGAGAAGGCGAGGGUAGAGGAGGAAGAAUGUUACACAGCAAAGAUGCAGAGGAAUGAGAUGAAGACAGAAGAUCAGAGAGGUGAUGAUGAUGAUGAAGAGGAGGAGCAGACUGACUCAGUCACAGAGACUCACACUCCCACAAUGCACGAGAGAAUUACCUCUAACCCACAGCCCUGUGAUGGGCAGGUCACUGGGCUAAUGAAAGACCAGUGUCUCUGAAGAGGAGUAUUCUGGGAUGUGUAGUUUAGUGGAGGAGCGACUGUGUGAGUUGGUGCAACGACUAAUAAGUGAGCUGUCGCUACACACUCACACACAUACAGACUGCAGACGGGAGUUGGAGUUGUUGGAGGCUGCAGAGGAAGUGGGGGACUCAGUGUGUCAUCUCGUCUAUGCAGUGAACACACACUCCGUCCCAAACGCACACACUUCAUGCCCCAUCCUCCUACACAACCACAGGCCAGAGUAUGAAUCCAGAAGGCUUCUCUAGACUUUGACGCCCGAUGACGUGAGUUAUUGUGUAAAAUCCAUACUUUCCUGUGUAAUACAUAUGAAACUUAUAUUUGUAUGAAGUACAGUUGUACUGAAAUGAUUAUGCUCUUUCAUUAGAGAAACCUAUGACAAA